This 429-nucleotide ribosomal RNA is filed under the name Gemmatimonadota bacterium. RNAcentral describes it as "Gemmatimonadetes bacterium partial 16S ribosomal RNA". It matches the Rfam family "Bacterial small subunit ribosomal RNA", at positions 355 to 776 of the family's 1533-position model. Lineage: Bacteria; Pseudomonadati; Gemmatimonadota. The record is from RNAcentral.
UAGGGAAUCUUCGGCAAUGGACGAAAGUCUGACCGAGCAACGCCGCGUGAGUGAAGAAGGUUUUCGGAUCGUAAAACUCUGUUGUUAGAGAAGAACAAGGACGUUAGUAACUGAACGUCCCCUGACGGUAUCUAACCAGAAAGCCACGGCUAACUACGUGCCAGCAGCCGCGGUAAUACGUAGGUGGCAAGCGUUGUCCGGAUUUAUUGGGCGUAAAGCGACCGCAGGCGGUUUCUUAAGUCUGAUGUGAAAGCCCCCGGCUCAACCGGGGAGGGUCAUUGGAAACUGGGAGACUUGAGUGCAGAAGAGGAGAGUGGAAUUCCAUGUGUAGCGGUGAAAUGCGUAGAUAUAUGGAGGAACACCAGUGGCGAAGGCGGCUCUCUGGUCUGUAACUGACGCUGAGGCUCGAAAGCGUGGGGAGCAAACAGG